Molecule: ribosomal RNA, 446 nt
Filed under: uncultured bacterium
Lineage: Bacteria
Description: bacterial SSU rRNA
Rfam family: Bacterial small subunit ribosomal RNA
Source: RNAcentral
ACCAGACUCCUACGGGAGGCAGCAGUGGGGAAUAUUGCACAAUGGGGGAAACCCUGAUGCAGCGACGCCGCGUGAGUGAAGAAGUAUUUCGGUAUGUAAAGCUCUAUCAGCAGGGAAGAAAAUGACGGUACCUGAUUAAGAAGCCCCGGCUAACUACGUGCCAGCAGCCGCGGUAAUACGUAGGGGGCAAGCGUUAUCCGGAUUUACUGGGUGUAAAGGGAGCGUAGACGGUGAUGCAAGUCAGAAGUGAAAGCCCGGGGCUCAACUCCGGGACUGCUUUUGAAACUGUGUGACUGGAGUGCAGGAGAGGUAAGCGGAAUUCCUGGUGUAGCGGUGAAAUGCGUAGAUAUCAGGAGGAACACCAGUGGCGAAGGCGGCUUACUGGACUGUAACUGACGUUGAGGCUCGAAAGCGUGGGGAGCAAACAGGAUUAGAUACCCGCGUAC